RNAcentral lists this long non-coding RNA (3251 nucleotides) under Bemisia tabaci. RNAcentral's name for it is "lncRNA ENSASIAIIG009829". The record is from RNAcentral. Lineage: Eukaryota; Metazoa; Arthropoda; Insecta; Hemiptera; Aleyrodidae.
GGUUGCCAAAUUGCACUUAAAAUCAGCCUCCUUUACUGUAAGGUAUUAUGGAGGAACCAGGUACUGAAGUAGAAUGUGGCAAGUCACAACUCAUACCAUUCUAGUUCGCGCUAAAAACAUUUCGUACACGUUCGGAGCUACACAUUGUUUCUAUGCCUUAACAGCCCUUCACCCUUCACCUCUCCUCUAUCACCCUCGCUAUCUCUUGUCCAGUCUCGUAAUCCGAAGCAACCCCGCGAAUCCACAUUCUCGGUCACAUUCGCUAGGACACGCUAGGACCGCAUGCGACGCGUUCCUCCCAGCCUCGUCUUCAAGUCGCUGCUCUUUCGUUUAUUUUCCGAAUUUUUCCGCCCGACCCCCGUCUUAUUUCCCCACGAAAAGUGACGCUCAGAGUUUCCCCUUUGUUUUCAGUCGGUGUUUUCCGUGUCGCUCUGCUACUCACUGCCCCGUAUUUGUUUGUUCUCAGUGUGUUCGCUCCAAGUGUUGUGAAAAGUGAUGCAAAUCGCCUAAUCUGUGUUAAUCCACCACUAGGUUUUCCUCUAGUCUGUAGAUCUCAUUCUUCCAUCCAGCCCAGCUCCAGGUCGUUUUUCGGACAAUGAGUGGAGAAGCGAACCGUCAAGGUCAGUCAAGCCAAGGUCAGUCAAGCCAAGGUCAGAGCCAAGCUAUCAGCCUGCCUAUCAUUGAUUUUAGCCUGUCACCUCUUUAUAUACGUAGUCCGCCGCCCGUUAGCCAGCCGCCGCCGCCCGUUAGCCAGCCGCCGCCGCCUCACCGUCCGCAGACCACGCAGCCCGUCAUGAGCAGUCACCCUCAUCAAAUGCCCCUUCCCCGUUACCUGCCGCCGCAUUGCCCAGCCCCUACAUUGGGAAGGGAUUAUUGGGUACGCCACCUCUUAAAAGUCUUUGAUGAUUCAAUAGCAGGGAAAUCCGACGAUGACAUCGCCAUUAUUUGUUGCGCUGCUGUUACGACAAUACUCAAGGAAGCGAAUCCAACGAAGCUAAAAAAAUUGUCCGACUCGGGUACAUCAGAUUCAGAAUCAAGUUCAGAUUCUGACGAUAGUUAAUUGUUCAAGGGAUAUUACAUUUUAUGUUUGACGACUAGUAUGCAAACGCUCUCUGAAGAUGACAAUCAAGCCAGAUCUAGAUGUCUGUCUUGUUCAGAAACAUCAUUAAUGUGUUCAAUCAUAAAAAUUGUCGCCUGUGGCUGAAGCUAGUGCUAGAAGUUUUUUAAUAAAAAAAUACUAGAAUUUUCUCAAAUACUUCGAAGGUCCUAGUUUUAUGACGUCAGAUUCAAGCAAUGUGCAAAACAUGUUUUUUUAGAAAUAGGAGGAGGUUUAUAAAUUCGCUGGAUAAAUUGAGAAUUUUGGUAGAAAGUCUCCUGGUGGCUCUUUUUAAAUGUUAUGUAGUCUGUUUCUUGAUACAGUUAAAGUUGAUACAGUUUAAAUUGGUUAUAUGUGGGUUGAGAUAAAUCCAGCAGAUAUGAGAAUCUGUGAGUGCACUACCUGUGUUUCCAGUAGAAAAUCACCUGUUCUGUCUCCAUAGUUUGGUAGAAAACAGAUCCGCCAUGUGCAAUCUAACAUUUCACCUGUCUACUCUAAAAAUUAUUUGUUUUUAAGAACUAUGAAUGAAAAUCAUAAACCAAAAUGAAAACCUCACUCAUUUGCCAUUUAUUUUUCAUUUUAAAAUUUGAUAGAACUUCAUGUUUCAUGUAGAACUUGUAUUUAAAGAAAGAUGUAUGAAGGUUUAAUAAUCUUGUGAAUGUUGUCCUUAAUUUUUAAACUUCAUUCCACGUGAAGUCGAAUGAUGUAUUAACCUCAGGAAUUCUCACAGGAACGAAAAAUUUGAUAGUGAUCAAAAUAUUUGUAAAUUUUAAUUUUUUUAUGGAUCUCAUUAUAAUUUUUAUUUUUGGUCUUAUAUGUCUAAAGGCUUUAGCAGGUAUGUGCCUUGAAGACUAACCAUGUACGCAUCUAUUUUUUUUAGGUUGAUCUAUCUUAAAUUGAUUUCUGGUUCAGGCGUAGCUGUUCAAGAAAAUGAAAGUUGUUUAAUCUGAUAUAAAAGUAAAAUCGACACUCUCUCUUUUCUUUAUCAAAUUACUUAUUUAAUCUAAUUUAAAAUUAAAAUGCGAGCUAGGAGCAGGAAAUUAAAGCCAUAUUUGAAAUCAAUUGAGCCUGUGAUUCAGGAGAAGUAAUAUUUUCUGAAGUGUGAUACACGGUUCCUUACCUCUAAAUUGAAAGCUUUUCUAUUAAUGGAACACUAGACAAGAGGCGAAUUUAAGAAUUAUGUUUAAUGUUACCGCCCACUCAAAAUUUCACGUAGAAACCGAUUUGUUCAUAAAAAACUUUUUCGAGAUAAUGCCAAACCUAGAUAUUUACGUUGUUUGGUGCGUAAAUUAAACUUUCCAUUCUUUAAAAAACCAUGAUCUUAUGAUCUUAAUUAAAUUGCACACUAAACAUCACUGUAAUUCUGUGUGGUUUGCGAAUCUAGUAACUUCAAUCCUAGAGCAUCAGCUCAGCUGUCGCACGUUGUCUGCAUUGUGAAUAACUCUGAGUGGGGAAGGAGCACUUCUCAAUUGAGAAGCCUGCCAAAACCGUUGUAGUGCUAGAUUUACACAGGCUUUGAGUUAUCUUGCGAGUAGAAAGAUAUUUUGUAAUCAGUUCUAUUUGAAAACAUUAAAUAUCAGGGUUAGAAGUCGGUCAAUUCUAGUAAUUCACGUUAAGCAAAUAUGUUCUACAUAGAAUUUUGAAGAGGUAACUUUCAUCAUAAUGCUUAAAUUUGGACCUAUUCCAGUGGUCCAUUUCUCAUUGACAGCACCAAUGGAAAAGUCGUACAUGUUAUCGCUCGCUUUUAUAUGAGCAACAGAUCUGUGAGUGAACAAUCUUCCCAAGAGCCGAGGAAGUUCCCACAAAGGAGACAUAUUUCUACUCUAAUCUUUGUCGUGUUACUUGAUAUAUGUUCCAUUUAAGUUUCUGUUUUCAGAAAGAAAUUUUAUUCUGCUCUAAGUACCUAGUUUAAGUACUUAUCAUAGUCAAGUAGGUCUGUAAGAACCAUCCCGGCCAUGUAUUUUGUGCUCAGGUCUCAUUUACCACUGUAAAUAUUGAAAAAUCUUAUUUUUAUACGACACCCAAUAAAUGUUCUUGGAUUUGUGAUUUUUCAAUUUUUCUAUUUCUUUCUUCACAAGCACAUCAUGCUGCAAUACACAACAAUGAUGGCUCACACAAUUAUUGCUCUAAGACAAUACAAUAACAUACAAAUUAA